Molecule: ribosomal RNA, 724 nt
Filed under: uncultured bacterium
Lineage: Bacteria
Description: bacterial SSU rRNA
Rfam family: Bacterial small subunit ribosomal RNA
Source: RNAcentral
GAGCAAACAGGAUUAGAUACCCUGGUAGUCCACGCUGUAAACGAUGUCGAUUUGAAGGUUGUUCCCUUGAGGAGUGGCUUUCGGAGCUAACGCGUUAAAUCGACCGCCUGGGGAGUACGGCCGCAAGGUUAAAACUCAAAUGAAUUGACGGGGGCCCGCACAAGCGGUGGAGCAUGUGGUUUAAUUCGAUGCAACGCGAAGAACCUUACCUACUCUUGACAUCCAGAGAACUUAGCAGAGAUGCUUUGGUGCCUUCGGGAACUCUGAGACAGGUGCUGCAUGGCUGUCGUCAGCUCGUGUUGUGAAAUGUUGGGUUAAGUCCCGCAACGAGCGCAACCCUUAUCCUUUGUUGCCAGCGAUUCGGUCGGGAACUCAAAGGAGACUGCCGGUGAUAAACCGGAGGAAGGUGGGGAUGACGUCAAGUCAUCAUGGCCCUUACGAGUAGGGCUACACACGUGCUACAAUGGCGUAUACAAAGAGAAGCGACCUCGCGAGAGCAAGCGGAACUCAUAAAGUACGUCGUAGUCCGGAUUGGAGUCUGCAACUCGACUCCAUGAAGUCGGAAUCGCUAGUAAUCGUAGAUCAGAAUGCUACGGUGAAUACGUUCCCGGGCCUUGUACACACCGCCCGUCACACCAUGGGAGUGGGUUGCAAAAGAAGUAGGUAGCUUAACCUUCGGGAGGGCGCUUACCACUUUGUGGUUCAUGACUGGGGUGAAGUCGUA